ACUCCUACGGGAGGCAGCAGUAGGGAAUCUUGCGCAAUGGGCGAAAGCCUGACGCAGCGACGCCGCGUGAGCGAUGAAGGCCUUCGGGUCGUAAAGCUCUGUGGGGAGAGACGAAUAAGGCAUGGCUAAUAUCCAUGUCGAUGACGGUAUCUCCCUAGCAAGCACCGGCUAACUCUGUGCCAGCAGCCGCGGUAAU
RNAcentral lists this ribosomal RNA (196 nucleotides) under uncultured bacterium. Its description in RNAcentral is "partial 16S ribosomal RNA". It matches the Rfam family "Bacterial small subunit ribosomal RNA", at positions 335 to 524 of the family's 1533-position model. The record is from RNAcentral.